CGAGAGGGAGGUCGCUUUUUAUGAAUGGAAAUGAAUGUAUAAGCCCAGUGACUCAGUGAGUGUGUCAUCUAGCCUCUUUAUAAGGGCCAGCGCACGAACAUGCCUAAACAGUUCAAACCGCGCUGCUCGCUCCGACAGGCGCUCGGAUCUCCUCCCCUCCUGAAGCUCGCCCGUCUGCCCGGCGCUCCCGGCUCUCACCUGCCCGGCCUCUGACCGGUCCCGGUCACCUCCACCUCCCGUCCCGUCCCGUCCACUCCAGUCCCAGAGCCCCGGACGCAGCGCCAGGCGCCUGGAGAAGCGGGGCGCCCCACGUGACGGCUCCCCACCGCCGGCGCUAAAUUUCCUUCAGUUUUUUUUUUUUUUGGUUUUAAUUCGCGGAACCCAACCAUGAGACUGCUCGGAGACUCCUCCCCCCCGCUGCUGCUCUCGCUGCUACUGGCCCAGCUGUCCGCCUUCGCCAGCGGUUCCCCCGCCUCCCGCCGUCCCCACGGCGACUUCGACAAGCUGGCCAACCAGACGCUGCACCUGCUCAAGCUGACCAAGGCCCUGCUGGUGAGACCAGAGCACAGGCUGCUCAUUAGUGAUGGGGAGGAGGAGGACUGGGAUGGCACAGGACACGGAGGCAGAGAGGCCCCUGAGCGCGCACUCGUCCUGGGGGGCCCCAGAGCGCGGGAGCGCGCCGGGAGCGCGGGGGCGCGCCGCGCCAGCCCGCCCGGUGACGCGCUCUGCGCCUGAUACCAUCGGCGCGCGGGAUCGGAUUGCAGUAUUUGCAAAAGGAAAAGAGGAAACUGCUUUAGGGAGGGGGGGUGGAUAUACCGUAAACGCACAAUUCAAG
Molecule: long non-coding RNA, 835 nt
Filed under: Lepisosteus oculatus (spotted gar)
Lineage: Eukaryota; Metazoa; Chordata; Actinopteri; Semionotiformes; Lepisosteidae
Description: lncRNA (ENSLOCG00000023092.1)
Source: RNAcentral